CGUGAAACCGUCCAGGGGUAAACCUGCGAAACUCGAAUGAACGAACGGGGAGAUUCAUCGUCACUCCUCGGCGCACGGGCGUCGGUUCGAUGCUAGUCGAUCUCGGUCGGCGGGCACGCGUCGCGUCCGUCGCGCUCCGGGGACGGCGUGCACUUCUCCCUCAGUAAUAUACAUCGCGACCCGUUCGGCGUCGGUCUAAGUGCCCUCCGGGUGUCUUCGCUUCCUCGCGUCGCGUAGACCGUGAGGUGUCGCCGACCGGCCGUCGGACGGUAGUACGUACGAAACGCGCACGCGCACAUUGCGCGCGUCCGGCCCGACGCAAGGCAACGUCGUAUCCCUCGUCCUGCCCGAGUGCGGACGAGGGUGCGGCGCGCCUGUCGUCGCAGCCGUGCUGUCUCGGACCGUGCGCGAGUCCGUCUGCGA
RNAcentral lists this ribosomal RNA (423 nucleotides) under Actenochroma muscicoloraria. Its description in RNAcentral is "eukaryotic LSU rRNA". The record is from RNAcentral. Lineage: Eukaryota; Metazoa; Arthropoda; Insecta; Lepidoptera; Geometridae.